Molecule: ribosomal RNA, 776 nt
Filed under: uncultured Enterococcaceae bacterium
Lineage: Bacteria; Bacillati; Bacillota; Bacilli; Lactobacillales; Enterococcaceae
Description: bacterial SSU rRNA
Rfam family: Bacterial small subunit ribosomal RNA
Source: RNAcentral
GACGAACGCUGGCGGCGUGCCUAAUACAUGCAAGUCGAACGCUUUUUCUUUCACCGGAGCUUGCUCCACCGAAAGAAAAAGAGUGGCGAACGGGUGAGUAACACGUGGGUAACCUGCCCAUCAGAAGGGGAUAACACUUGGAAACAGGUGCUAAUACCGUAUAACAAGUAAAACCGCAUGGUUUUACUUUGAAAGGCGCUUUUGCGUCACUGAUGGAUGGACCCGCGGUGCAUUAGCUAGUUGGUGAGGUAACGGCUCACCAAGGCAACGAUGCAUAGCCGACCUGAGAGGGUGAUCGGCCACAUUGGGACUGAGACACGGCCCAAACUCCUACGGGAGGCAGCAGUAGGGAAUCUUCGGCAAUGGACGAAAGUCUGACCGAGCAACGCCGCGUGAGUGAAGAAGGUUUUCGGAUCGUAAAACUCUGUUGUUAGAGAAGAACAAGGAUGAGAGUAAAAUGUUCAUCCCUUGACGGUAUCUAACCAGAAAGCCACGGCUAACUACGUGCCAGCAGCCGCGGUAAUACGUAGGUGGCAAGCGUUGUCCGGAUUUAUUGGGCGUAAAGCGAGCGCAGGCGGUUUCUUAAGUCUGAUGUGAAAGCCCCCGGCUCAACCGGGGAGGGUCAUUGGAAACUGGGAAACUUGAGUGCAGAAGAGGAGAGUGGAAUUCCAUGUGUAGCGGUGAAAUGCGUAGAUAUAUGGAGGAACACCAGUGGCGAAGGCGGCUCUCUGGUCUGUAACUGACGCUGAGGCUCGAAAGCGUGGGGAGCAAACAGG